This 110-nucleotide ribosomal RNA is filed under the name Nephila pilipes (giant wood spider). Lineage: Eukaryota; Metazoa; Arthropoda; Arachnida; Araneae; Nephilidae. The record is from RNAcentral.
ACAGCCAUACCAUGCUGAAAACACCGGUUCUCGUCCGAUCACCGAAGUUAAGCAUCAUCGGGCGUGGUCAGUACUUGGGAGGAUGGCACCUGGGAACACUGCGUGCCGUU